This is a long non-coding RNA of Pogoniulus pusillus (Red-fronted tinkerbird), 1997 nucleotides long. RefSeq lists it as uncharacterized. The transcript has 3 exons. Lineage: Eukaryota; Metazoa; Chordata; Aves; Piciformes; Lybiidae. The record is from RefSeq and is a predicted model, not a curated record.
GAGAUCCUCUGCCUCUUUCCCAGCACCCUGGGAAGAUCUAGAAGCCUUUCAACGUCUGAACUGCCGUUGAAACACUGCCACAAUGGAGCCAGGGACUACCCUGAAAUCUCUACUCCACCGCAGUGAGUAGCACAGCCUUUCCCUGGGUCUCCGGGCUACCUAUUCGUAAGUGAGACAAAGCCAUUUUGUGGUUAAACUUUUCCAUUUUUUCUGAUUCUUCUAAAGGAAUGAAUUGCCCAUAAGCAUCCUUGUGAAGAAUUUCCCAACCAAAUUACAACCCACAUUUAACUAAUUAGUAUGUAGUUGUGGGCAGGGCGACAUAUUUUAUAAUUCCUGCCUCACUCAUUGUCUCUACUAAAUCAGGUACAAGGUGGAAAUAGCUUAAUUCGUAUCAAGUAAGGAUGUCUGUAUGGAGCUUUGGACUGAGAAAAUGCAAACUUCCACAAAAUUACACAACUGCAUGUUGUGAAAUGUAUUUUGAUAUGAUUAUGUUGAGUAAAAGACUUGAAUGUGUGCAGUGUUAUGAUCCAAAAGCUGUUACUGCCUGCAAUUCCACAAACAAUUCACACAAAACAGGAAUUUUAUGACCUCAAAUUACUAAUAAUUUCAUUGAAUUACUAAUCAAUGCAACUUGUUGUCAGAUGAUACAUAAUAGAAAUAAUCUAUUUAAGAAAUUCUCUCUAAGUAGCAGCUCAGUAAGAAAAAAGGCUGCUCAGGACCCUGGCACUGGUUCUCAAUUACUGGUAAUAUCCAACUUACAGCUUAUGACAUUGGCAAGGAAAUAAGAAAGCUCAGAGCAGUCAAUCAAUGCUUUCAUGAUUCAAUGCUAAGACUUGCAUCUUCCAGUUAUCAAAUUGCGAUGGAGGCUCUGUACUGCAAACUUUAAAUGACUAAUGGCAAUAUUCUUGCUGUCAUUUUCUGCUGAAGACCCCAUCCCCCUUCCCCAAGAACUCAAGGAACCCAGUCUGAAAAUCACAGUCCAGCUGAUCUCUAUGCUGUUACUCAGUUUCUGUUGUUUUAAUGUUAAUGUAUAAACCUAUCUACUAGAUUGAAUUUUUCCAGUAAUUACUAAUUGACCUUCUAUGUAUUAAUAUAAAAUGAGGCAGAUGACACUUUCCAAAAUGGUACUUUGCUUCCUCACACUCUGAGUAACUUGAGGAACAAUAAAAGAUACCCAAGGGACUAAUAACUGUUGCAUGUCCAUCCUUUUCUCUAUAACAACAUUUGGGCUUUUUUUUUUAUGGCAAUGAAGCUUCAUGGGGCUUUAUCUUGCUCAGAUUUGACAUGUUUGCUUUACUAAAUGUAUCCAAUGCUUUACAAAUUUCUGUUAUCUUCAUUAGCUAGCCUUUGUUUAUUUUUGAUUAACAGAAUGUAUCAUGAAGAAAAAGAUGUCAAACUUAUGGACAAUAUAGCAGACCACCAGCAGAUGACAACGGGAUCCCCAAAAUAAUGAAUAAAACAAUGGGAGAAAACAGCAGUAAUGUCUGUGGAAAACAGCGAAAGAAGAGCUGUGUGCUUAUCGUUUAAAGUUAACGUUCAAGAUCCUUGGAUCUGAUACCCUCCCACUGCACACAAGACACAGAACUGAAGGACGUCAAAGCAAGCAGAUGGUCCUGAAUACACAGAAAUGGCAAAAGCAUUAAACUGCAAGUAUUGCUCUUGAAUCGCUCUGCCUUGUGGAGAGCUCAUGUUAUCAGGUUCUUGUAUAUGUGCGUUUGAGACGCCUUCAAAGAAGAAAUAGGAUACCUAACUUUUAGUGCAGAAAAUGAGUUCCAAAAUACACACAAGAUAAAGGCUGAUAACAUCUCUGAAAUCUCCUACUUAAUCUGCAGCCCUCAAGGAAAAUCUGUCGACUUUACAAUGGUGCUCUGCCCAUGCUGCUUAUGGUAAUUAAUGGGCCUGUGGUACCCUACUCCUAUGACAACCGUUGAAGGAAAGGGUUUGUACCUCAUUUUUUAUCAGGCUGAUGUCGAGUGGGGCUGCCCACCCAGCUGAGA